Long non-coding RNA from Thalassophryne amazonica, 1233 nucleotides. RefSeq lists it as uncharacterized. NCBI's taxonomy places the organism in Eukaryota, Metazoa, Chordata, Actinopteri, Batrachoidiformes, Batrachoididae. The transcript is spliced from 4 exons. The record is from RefSeq and is a predicted model, not a curated record.
GACGAGGCAACAUGGCGCUUUGUUUACGAGCUGAUCGUCGAGGUUUGAUUUUCUAGUCGAGGCGAUAUUAAAUUAUUGAUAUCAUACUAAUGAAUGAGUGAUGGAUCCUGUCACGCCUCCACAAUUGCAGCACGGUGCGCAUGGUGCUGUUGAUGUCACCUCCUGGGUGUCAGUGUGUCCCAGAGGUCCCUGGAGGGUCACAAGACGAGAGUGCAUAGAACCAGGUCACAGACGGUCUGUAAUUCUGAAGACUGGUCAUCCUGUUUCUGUCCAAGGUUGGGUUCAGUUUGUCAAAUCCGAGUUCACCUUAAAGUGAACACAGAUGAACCAGAGUGUGCAGAAUCCAAAAGAGGAAAUGACAAGCUGUCAGUCAAAGGCGAACAGCCAGUGGAUGAGUUGACAGAGACAGUGACCACACCCUUCACACGACGUCGGGACUCUUGUGCUGCAGGUUCCGCUGGGUGAAUGGACAAACGCUGAGGCUUGGGGAGGGUCAGGUGCGAUAUCACUGAAGCAUGUCUAGAGGGGAUAGAGCUGGAGAGAAAUGUGAGAUACUGCUGACUCCUUUUGAGAAUGAACCAGAGGACUCUGUUCUCCAUCCUGCACAGCAAAAUGAGCAUUUAUCUGCUACAGUCGAACUUCAUGCUUACACACCAGGGAAAGACUCCUGGGAAAUGUCUCCAGGAGAAAAUGGGAGUGGGUGAAAUCUCACAAGGAGCGUGGCGAGCUCGGUUCAGUAGCGGGGAUGUGUGGGGAGCUGCGACAGCUACAGCCGGGCGCUGAAACGCCUCAUCACCCUGUACAGACACGUCCUAAGGCAGAGAGAUCCGGAGAGAGGCGGACGCCUGCGUUGAACCCCGUGUGAGUUUUACCAUCGGCUAUCGAGUUACAGAACUAUGAAAGCAGAGCUUCACUCCAACAUGUCUUUGUGCCAGCUGAAACUGAAGCAACCAGAUAGGGCGAAGGCCAAUGCUGCUCAGGCCACAGAGCUGAACCCUGGUGGGACUAAAGCUUGGUACAGACUGGGCCAAGCCUGCCAGAUGCUCAACGAGCUGGAGGAGGCAAAGCAUGCGUUUCGGAGGGUCCUAGAGCUCCAGCCAGAAUCACCUGCUGCGUUAAAGGCACUUAACGUUGUAGCAAGUAAAGAGAAAGAGACAAAGUGCAAAGCUGGGAUUGAGACUCAGUAAAAAUGUUCAUGUAAUGAAUAAAAAAAAAACCUUACACAAGACCUCA